This 465-nucleotide ribosomal RNA is filed under the name uncultured bacterium. Its description in RNAcentral is "bacterial SSU rRNA". It matches the Rfam family "Bacterial small subunit ribosomal RNA", at positions 338 to 795 of the family's 1533-position model. The record is from RNAcentral.
CCUACGGGGGGCUGCAGUCGAGAAUCUUCCGCAAUGGGCGAAAGCCUGACGGAGCGACGCCGCGUGGAGGACGAAGGCCUUCGGGUUGUAAACUCCUGUCACGAGUUAAGAAGGGUAUGCGGCGAACAGCCGUAUGCCUUGACGUAAGCUCGAGAGGAAGCACUGGCUAACUCUGUGCCAGCAGCCGCGGUAAUACAGAGAGUGCAAACGUUGUUCGGAAUUACUGGGCUUAAAGCGCACGUAGGCGGCAUCGCAAGUGUGGGGUGAAAUCCCACGGCUUACCCGUGGAACUGCCUGGCAGACUGCGAUGCUCGAGUGUGGUAGGGGAGAGCGGAACUCCUGGUGGAGCGGUGAAAUGCGUAGAUAUCAGGAGGAACACCGGUGGCGAAGGCGGCUCUCUGGUCCACAACUGACGCUGAGGUGCGAAAGCUAGGGGAGCAAACGGGAUUAGAUACCCCAGUAGUC